Molecule: long non-coding RNA, 2116 nt
Filed under: Calidris pugnax (ruff)
Lineage: Eukaryota; Metazoa; Chordata; Aves; Charadriiformes; Scolopacidae
Description: lncRNA (ENSCPUG00000006954.1)
Source: RNAcentral
AGAGGACCAUCCUAAAGGGAUGGUCCUAAAGCUCUAGUGAGCUUUUCAAAUUCUUUUCAAAUUCAAACCAUAUUGAAAGAGGCAAAAACUUUUGUCUUUCUAAUAUGGCUUAUCCGUCUGCCUAUGACUGCCCUGAACAUGCUUCCUUUAUUUUAAACUAAACCACAGUCAUGGUAACCUGACCAAAAUUAAUCAUCUUCCAAAUUCGUGAAGAACUCCAAGUUAAGCAAGUGUAGAAGAAACAUGACAAGCUGUGCUUUAUUUUGACAACUUCCGCUUCAGGUUGGUAGGGAGCACACACACUAACAAGUGUACCUAUCAAAUCACAAAGCUUUAACAAAAAGAAAGCAAGAAGUAUUUUGCCAGGGAAAAAAAUGAAGGCUUUCUCUCCAGAUAAAAUAAGCAGAUCAGCAAAUAAUGUAAGCAAAACGUCAAGAAUUGCUGGAAUAACAGAGAACAAUAGCUCAACAUCUUUUUUGUGGUCAAGCUUCACUUGAGAAGCCUGGCAGCGCUCCAUGCCUUGCCAAGGCCCUCACUGGGAGGGGACCCAGCUCAUCACACCCCAGCAGCAGGACCUGCCCCCAGGACUGGACAUGGGAACACGUCACCUCCAGCUCCCCCAACCCAAGCACCUCCUGAAGGGUUGUGACAGCACAGCAGCUCCUGGCAGAGGUUUGAAAGGCUGCCCUGACACCUCACCACCACGUGAGCCGGGGUGCCUGGAGGGACAAAGAAAGGCAGCGGAACACAGCGGCCCUUCCGCAGGCUCCAUCCCGCUGACAGACGGGCUGUGCUCAGGCAAUCGGGCAUUUUGGGAAGCUGCUCCCCACCACCCCUGUGUCGGAUGGCAACUGUGGGAUCCAACCGACAACGAUGAGGAGGAAACACCCAUCUCUCUCUCACCCGGUGGGGUACAAACGGCCCUUCAGAGCCUCCUUUGGAGCACUGUAACAAGGUGAAGAUGCUACCUCUUCCUCACCCCUUGAUCCCAGCAGAGCGAGUCCAGGGGACAUCCUGGGGACAUGGGGACACACCUGCCCCGUCAGCGCCCCGAGGAGCAAGCAGGAGACCGAUGCCCCAUUGUUGCUGAGGUGUGGGGGCAGUAGCUGCCAGCUGGGAAACCUGGAUAAUCGAUAAAAAGAUUUCAAAAAGCAGGAAACACCAGGAGAUGUGCAGCUGCAGCCCAGAAGGCCAAUCGCACCCUGGGCUGCAUCAAAAGCUGCGUUGCCAGCAGGUCCAGAGAGGUGAUUCUUCCACUUUGCUCUGGUGAGACCUCACCUGGAGGUUUGUGUGCAGGUCUGGAGCCCUCAAUAUAAGAAGGACAUGGACCUGAUGGAGAGGGUCCAGAGGAGGGCCACAAGGAUGAUCAGGGGGAUGGAGCACCUCUGCUACGAGGACAGGCUGAGGGAGCUGGGGUUGUUCAGCCUGGAGAAGAGGAGGCUCCGGGGAGACCUAAUAGCAGCCUUCCAGUACCUGAGGGGGGCUACAGGAAGGCUGGGGAGAGCCUGUUUAGAAAGGCCUGCAGUGACAGGACGAGGGGCAAUGGCUUCAAGCUGGAGGGGAACAGAUUUAGACUGGAGAUGAGGAGAGGGUUCUUCACUGUGAGGGUGGUGGAGCACUGGGACAGGUUGCCCAGGGAGGUGGUUGAGGCCCCUUCCCUGGAGAUAUUCAAGGAGAGGCUCGACGAGGCCCUGGGCAACCUGGUCUAGUUGGGGGUGUCCCUGCUGACUGCGGGGGGGUGGGACUAGAUGGCCUUUGGAGGUCCCUUCUGGCCUGGACCAUUCUAUGAGAUCAGGACCAGGCCACCGACACAAGGUGCUUUACAAGGUCCCCAGGGAGGGCUCACACUGAGCACCCCAGCCUGUGCUCCUGCCAGACACAUCAUUGCCUCCCCCCAGGGCUGGCAAAGCAAUUGAUUCUUUCCCAGGGAAAAAAAAAAAAAAAAGCCACAAAGAAAGCAUUUUUAUUUUUAUGAGCUAGAUAAAUCUAUUUUAUAUACUGUCAGCUGUAAUAGGCACACACUGGAUAACGUUAUUUCCCUUCCCUGUAAUUCUCACCCCAUGCUUACUCAGCUCACAGGCUGGCAAAAUGGAAUAAAAUAAUAUAAAAUAAACCA